Molecule: ribosomal RNA, 422 nt
Filed under: uncultured prokaryote
Description: bacterial SSU rRNA
Rfam family: Bacterial small subunit ribosomal RNA
Source: RNAcentral
UUAGGAAUCUUCCACAAUGGGCGCAAGCCUGAUGGAGCGACGCCGCGUGAGGGACGAAGGCUCUCGAGUCGUAAACCUCUAAAAGGGGGACGAUAAUGACGGUACCCCUUGAAAAGCACCGGCUAACUCAGUGCCAGCAGCCGCGGUAAUACUGAGGGUGCGAGCGUUAUCCGGAAUCACUGGGCGUAAAGGGCGUGUAGGCGGUCUGCUAAGUCCGAUGUUAAAGACCGGGGCUCAACCCCGACACGGCGUUGGAUACUGGCAGGCUAGACGGCUGGAGAGGCAAGUGGAAUUACCAGUGUAGCGGUGGAAUGCGUAGAUACUGGUAGGAACACUCAUUGCGAAGGCAGCUUGCUGGACAGCACGUGACGCUAAGGCGCGAAAGUGUGGGGAGCAAACCGGAUUAGAUACCCGUGUAGUCC